This is an RNA transcript of Salarias fasciatus (jewelled blenny), 2583 nucleotides long. It is a transcript of the gene named serine/threonine-protein kinase 35-like, with no coding region annotated. NCBI's taxonomy places the organism in Eukaryota, Metazoa, Chordata, Actinopteri, Blenniiformes, Blenniidae. The record is from RefSeq and is a predicted model, not a curated record. The transcript has 3 exons.
ACUUCCUCUUUCCGAGGUUUAAAUCCAGUGAGGACUUGAACUUGCACGCGGCAGCAGCGUUCAUGUAAAGCGGAAUCUACGGGGAACGAUGGACCGAGCCGCCGGUACCAGCGGGCGGGGCCGGGGCCGGGGCCGGGGACAGGGCCGGAGCCGGAGCCGGAGCCGGGGAGGCGGACAGGGACGGGGCUCCCGGCCCUGCGGCAGGCUGGCUCCCGGGGCCGGCGUGCUGCGGAGCCUCAGCGUGGGGAACACGGAGCAGGACUCCAGGCCGGGCCGCGGGCCGCGGAGGACGGCGCCCCGCUACAGCCUGCUGCGGGAGGUGGGCCGGGGGACGUACGGCGUGGUGUACGAAGCCGUGGCCCGGAAGACCGGGGCCCGCGUGGCCGUCAAGAAGAUGCGCUGCGACGCGCCGGAGAAAGUGGAGCUCGCGCUGCAGGAGUUCUGGGCGCUGACCAGUCUGGACAAGAGGCACGAGAACGUGGUUCACCUGGAGGAGUGCGUCCUGCAGAGGAGCGGCCUGGCGCAGAGGAUGAGCCACGGCAACAAGAGCUCCAGGCAGUACCUGACCCUGGUGGAGACCUCCCUCAAAGGCGAGCGGACGCCGGGCCGGCCGGAGGAGCCCUGCUACCUGUGGUUCGUCAUGGAGUUCUGCGAGGGCGGGGACCUCAGCCACUUCAUCCUGUCCCGGCGGCCCGACCCGCAGACCAACAGCAGCUUCAUGCUGCAGCUGACCAGCGCCGUCGCCUUCCUGCACCAGAACCACAUCGUGCACAGAGACCUCAAGCCCGACAACAUCCUCAUCUCGGAGAAGUCCGGCUCGCCGGUGCUGAAGGUGGCCGACUUCGGCUUGAGUAAGGUCUGCGCCGGGCUGGGCGGCGCCGGCGAGCCCGGGGCGGGCGACGACAAGAGCAGGCACGACAAGAGCAAGCACGUCAACGUCAACAAGUUCUGGCUGUCGUCGGCGUGCGGCUCGGACUUCUACAUGGCGCCAGAGGUGUGGGAGGGCCACUACACGGCCAAGGCCGACAUCUUCGCCCUGGGCAUCAUCAUGUGGGCCAUGCUGGAGAGGAUCACCUUUGUGGACGCCAAGUCCAAGCGGGAGCUGCUGGGCUCGUACAUCAAGCAGGGGGCGGACAUCGUCCCGGUGGGCGAGGCGCUGCUGGAGAACCCCAAGAUGGUGCUGGACAUCCCCCAGAAGCGCCGGUCCCGCAUGCCGGCCACCACAGGGAAGCUGCUGCGCGACAUGCUGGCCGUGAACCCUCAGGACCGGCCCGACGCCGUCCAGCUGCAGGCCCGCUUGGAGCAGAUGGUGUGCGCCACAUGACCCUCACUCAGGUAGGUCCAGGUCCAGGUUCAGCCUGACCCCUGACCCCCGACGCUGCUUUCACACUCUGCCUUUAUUGACGGUGUUCACACUCAGAGCUUGUGAAUUUUCUCCAUCUGGCAGCAAAAUGAAGCAGAGCUGAGCUCCGGUAGGACUCAGACUCCGCCUGUUUCAGCCUCACACCAGAAGCAUUGAAGCCCGCUGUGCAGGUCUCACUGGAACUCGGCAGGAAUGUUGAAAUGUGGGGAACAGAGCAGUGUCAUGAGAAUGAACCCCGCCCUGUGAAUCUGUCCUUCAGCAGGGUGGAGUCUGACGCCCCCCCUCUCAGAGCCUCAGAGCCUUUUUGAAAUGCUCCAUCUCCGUCUGAGCGAGGAAACCUGGUUAACAACAAGGUUUUCCUCAAAGCUGAGGAGGGACCAGCUGAAACUCCUGCACUCAGCACUGUUAGCAUGCUAGCAUCUAUCAGCACACUAGCAUAGAUUAGCAAGUUGUCAUCUGCAGCCAGCAGUUAUUUUUAUAAUUUUUUGUGUUUUUACCUGUUAAUAAGUGUAAUUUGUUGCUGACUGUUGAUGAGUCACUAAUCGAUGCUAGCGUGCUGAUAGAUGCUAGCAUGCUAACAGUGCUGAGUGCAGGAGUUUCAGCCGUAGAGCUGAGGAUCCAGUAGGUCGUGGAUCGACGCUGACUGAUCCAGUAGGUCGUGGAUCGACGCUGACUGAUCCAGUAGGUCGUGGAUCGACGCUGACUGAUCCAGUAGGUCGUGGAUCGACGCUGACUGAUCCAGUAGGUCGUGGAUCGACGCUGACUGAUCCAGUUCCUGUGUGUCUCUGCAGGCGCCGCUCUGCUGCCUCACCCGGAGUCCCCCACAUGACGGCCCCUCCCCCUGUGAUUGGAGGGCUGGAUGUGGAUUUGAGUGGCCGGUCUGGCUGAAGCCCCUCCCCCCGGCCGCCGGACGCCCCCCCAGGUUGUUUGCUGGACGGCAGGAGUUGACUGGCUGGACUCCAGGCUUCCUCCAGUCUGGCCCUCAGCCGGCGGCAGGUUCUCUCGGACCGGAGCUGACGGGCUGUUCUCGGUUCUGUUGGUCCUGCCUCAUGUUUACAGACGUUCGAUUCCGGCUGCCUCGCUGGGCGGAGGCUCCGCUCCGCCUCCACGGCCGCUCGGCGUUUCAGCUUCAGGGACGCUCUCCUGAAGCUCUGAGUGAUGUGCCUCAGAGCUCCUGCUUUGUUCUUUCAGUUCAGUUAAUAAAGUUUUAAAUAAUCCCA